AUGUAUUUUUAGAAGGUUCUGGUGCUUGAUGUUGCUGGGAACCAUCACAACUAUACAGUGGGGAGAACAAGUAUUUGAUACACUGCCGAUUUACUCACAAAGCAUGUAGAGGUCUGUAAUUUUCAUCACAACUAGCUCACUUUAAUCAUGGGAAUGGAUGGAAAUUGAUAAAAAAAAUGUAUCACUAGCCACUUUAAACUAUGCCACUUAAUAUAAUGUAUAUACUGUACUCUAUAUCAUCGACUGCAUCUUGCUAUCUUUAUGUAAUACAUGUAUCACUAGCCACUUUAAACAAUGCGCUUUUAUGUUUACAUACCCUAUAUUAUUCAUCUCAUAUGUACAAUGGGGAGAACAAGUAUUUGAUACACUGCCAAUUUUGCAGGUUUUUCUACUUACAAAGCAUGUAGAGGUCUGUAUUUUUUUUAAAUCAUAGGUACACUUCAACUAUGAGAGACGGAAUCUAAAACAAAAAUCCAGAAAAUCACAUUGUAUGAUUUUUAAGUAAUUAAUUAGCAUUUUAUUGUUUGACAUAUGUAUUUGAUACAUCAGAAAAGCAGAACUUAAUAUUUGGUACAGAAACCUGUGUGCUGCUAUCUCUGAAGAGGUGUGCUGCUAUCUCUGAAGAGGUGUGCUGCUAUCUCUGAAGAUGUGUGCUGCUAUCUCUGAAGAGGUGUGCUGCUAUCUCUGAAGAUGUGUGCUGCUAUCUCUGAAGAGGUGUGCUGCUAUCUCUGAAGAUGUGUGCUGCUAUCUCUGAAGAUGUGUGCUGCUAUCUCUGAAGAUGUGUGCUGCUAUCUCUGAAGAUGUGUGCUGCUAUCUCUGAGGAUGUGUGUGCUAUCUCUCUGUGGUAGGACGUAGACCAUUCACUUGGAUACCCACAACGCUGCACACUUCAUUGUGUUCCUCAAUGAAAUGGAGCCUGUCAAGGUCAAGGGUCACCUAUGUCACCGUGUGGGACAAUGUCAGGUUACACCAUGCAGAGGUGGUUCAGGCAUGUUUUUCGGGGACCACCCCUGAUUCGUGACUCGAUACCUGCCCCCCUGAUACUCUCCUUCCCUCCACACUAUUGGGGAUUUGUUUCUCAGCUUGGAGGUGGAAGGUGUACGAUCGGCGUGUCACCCUCCUGCUGGUCAUGGAUGAGGCAGGCGACAACAUCAAUGCAGACUAACGUCAAGCUUGGAUUCACCGAAAGGCGCAUUCACUGUGAUGUGGAUGAGAAUUUACAGCCAAAUGCUCAAGACAGGCUGGAUGCAAAUGUAUGCCUGCUAAACAUGAUGUUUCUGUCAUUUCAUACAUUUAAUUGGUUUUACAUUUAAUUUCAUGUAUUUUUCUUACAUUUGAUUACAGCUACUGCAUGUUGCAAAUAUAUCUGAAAAAUGAAAAUACACAUUUUGCAUGAAUGAU
Oncorhynchus keta (chum salmon) is the source of this 1401-nucleotide long non-coding RNA. RefSeq lists it as uncharacterized. The record is from RefSeq and is a predicted model, not a curated record. NCBI's taxonomy places the organism in Eukaryota, Metazoa, Chordata, Actinopteri, Salmoniformes, Salmonidae. The transcript has 2 exons.